GACGAACGCUGGCGGCGUGCUUAACACAUGCAAGUCGAACGAUGAAGCCGGAGCUUGCUCCGGUGGAUUAGUGGCGAACGGGUGAGUAACACGUGAGCAAUCUGCCCUUGACUCUGGGAUAACUGCGGGAAACUGUAGCUAAUACCGGAUACGACACCUUGGGGCAUCCCAGGGUGUGGAAAGAAUUUCGGUCAAGGAUGAGCUCGCGGCCUAUCAGCUAGUUGGUGAGGUAAUGGCUCACCAAGGCGACGACGGGUAGCCGGCCUGAGAGGGUGACCGGCCACACUGGAACUGAGACACGGUCCAGACUCCUACGGGAGGCAGCAGUGGGGAAUAUUGCACAGUGGGCGAAAGCCUGAUGCAGCAACGCCGCGUGAGGGAUGAAGGCCUUCGGGUUGUAAACCUCUUUUAGCAGGGAAGAAGCGAAAGUGACGGUACCUGCAGAAAAAGCACCGGCUAACUACGUGCCAGCAGCCGCCUAA
Molecule: ribosomal RNA, 482 nt
Filed under: uncultured bacterium
Lineage: Bacteria
Description: partial 16S ribosomal RNA
Rfam family: Bacterial small subunit ribosomal RNA
Source: RNAcentral